UACAGAGGGUGCAAGCGUUGUUCGGAAUUAUUGGGCGUAAAGCGCGUGUAGGCGGCUUGGUAAGUCGGGUGUGAAAUCCCUCAGCUCAACUGAGGAAGUGCGCCCGAAACUGCUUUGCUUGAGUGCUGGAGAGGGUCGCGGAAUUCCCGAAGUAGAGGUGAAAUUCGUAGAUAUCGGGAGGAACACCGGUGGCGAAGGCGGCGACCUGGACAGUAACUGACGCUGAGACGCGAAAGCGUGGGUAGCAAACAGGAUUAGAUACCCUGGUAGUCCACGCCGUAAACGAUGAGAACUAGGUGUCGUGGGUGUUGACCCCCGCGGUGCCGUAGCUAACGCAUUAAGUUCUCCGCCUGGGAAGUACGGCCGCAAGGCUAAA
This 376-nucleotide ribosomal RNA is filed under the name uncultured bacterium. RNAcentral describes it as "bacterial SSU rRNA". It matches the Rfam family "Bacterial small subunit ribosomal RNA", at positions 524 to 898 of the family's 1533-position model. The record is from RNAcentral.